GACGAACGCUGGCGGCGUGCCUAAUACAUGCAAGUUGAGCGAUGAAGAUUGGUGCUUGCACCAAUUUGAAGAGCAGCGAACGGGUGAGUAACGCGUGGGGAAUCUGCCUUUGAGCGGGGGACAACAUUUGGAAACGAAUGCUAAUACCGCAUAACAACUUUAAACAUAAGUUUUAAGUUUGAAAGAUGCAAUUGCAUCACUCAAAGAUGAUCCCGCGUUGUAUUAGCUAGUUGGUGAGGUAAAGGCUCACCAAGGCGAUGAUACAUAGCCGACCUGAGAGGGUGAUCGGCCACAUUGGGACUGAGACACGGCCCAAACUCCUACGGGAGGCAGCAGUAGGGAAUCUUCGGCAAUGGACGAAAGUCUGACCGAGCAACGCCGCGGGAGUGAAGAAGGUUUUCGGAUCGUAAAACUCUGUUGGUAGAGAAGAACGUUGGUGAGAGUGGAAAGCUCACCAAGUGACGGUAACUACCCAGAAAGGGACGGCUAACUACGUG
Molecule: ribosomal RNA, 497 nt
Filed under: uncultured bacterium
Lineage: Bacteria
Description: partial 16S ribosomal RNA
Rfam family: Bacterial small subunit ribosomal RNA
Source: RNAcentral